This 48-nucleotide non-coding RNA is filed under the name Trichobilharzia regenti. The record is from RNAcentral. Lineage: Eukaryota; Metazoa; Platyhelminthes; Trematoda; Strigeidida; Schistosomatidae.
AUCCAGAUAAUGAGUCCCAAACAGGACGAAAUGCGCGUUAUCCUGGAU